Lycium ferocissimum is the source of this 1345-nucleotide long non-coding RNA. RefSeq lists it as uncharacterized. The transcript has 7 exons. The record is from RefSeq and is a predicted model, not a curated record. NCBI's taxonomy places the organism in Eukaryota, Viridiplantae, Streptophyta, Magnoliopsida, Solanales, Solanaceae.
UGUAGACACGUAUUUUGCCCUUACCUGCCACAAACCCACUUUCCCCUUUGCCCUUUCUUCCACGAGCCCACUUACUCUUACGUUUUUGUUUCUCAAUUCGCUGUAAUUUUCCUGAUUGGUACUCUAAGAACCUUCAGUAAAAUCAAUAUUCCCCCUUUUGUUUGCAUGGCUCUCGCAGGCAUUGUGGAUUAGAAUAAGCUUGAUCCUAAGGUUAAGAAGGGAAGAAGCAUCUUUAAGAAAGGAGGCAAUUGUUAAGUACAUCAUUAACAACAAGGUUCAAAUGACAAUACAAAUUGACCUACCUUAUCCACAUCCCCAAUUAUAUACAAGCUUGAUGGAAUACGAAAAUGAUCAUGACAGAAUAUAGAUAAUAUAAGGUGGGUAAGGUAGAUCAUAAAUUUUAUUUAUGUUUUUUCUUUUCGCGGUGGUAUUACAGUCACAAUCUUGGUAAGGUACUAACUUUUUUUAUUUCUAUUCUAGAGUUAUCUAUACCUUUUGCUCUUUUCUUAAUUGAUUCUGCAAUGCAAGUUUUCUUUUUAAUAAUUGGUUGUUAAAUUUCUUGGUUCCGUCCAAAUUGCCUCUCGAAGAACAUUCUCUGAGGUUGCCGCAUUUGGGAGAGUUGAGACAGCUGCACUAGGGAUAUUGUUCUGGGGAUUUUUCCCUCUUCUCCUUCGCUGUCUUGAGCUUUUGGCUCUUUUGUUAACUAAUUUUGCAGAUGCAUAUAUUUAUUCACUGUUCUGUGUCAAUUUCAUAGCAGUCAAAUUUUAUUAAGAGGAAUGCAAUGAGAAUAGAGGAAGGCUAUGUGAACAAAAUUUCCAAAGGGAAUGUGUUUCUAAUGCAUUGUGAGUGUGGUGGAUGGAUUUUGCAUUCGUGCUAGCUUCCACUGGGUUUACAUGAAGCUAUAUACAAUGGAGAAUACAAGAAGUUAUAGUUUAUCUACAAGCAAGCAUCUCCAUGGCUUUUGCAACUGUUGUCACUCUUAAUCCAUUAUCUUUUAAUGAGGUUUGGUCAUGAAAUUUUUGAGUUGAUAUUUUAGGAACAAGCACUACCAAAUUGAAGCCCCUUCACGACCCAAGAAUUGGAUGAACAUUAACUCAAGGCAGAGAAGGAGCCUAUAAACCCUUCGAUAUAGACUGCUGGUUUAUCAGAGUGGAGUGUACUAUGGAGUCAUAUAUCUUUGGUUCUGUGUCACCUUCUUUUGGUAGACAUUAUUGUGAGUUUCAUUUUCUUUUGUAUUUCAAAAGACGUAGACUCAUUCACUUCUUUGUGGUUGUAUAUAUUUUGCCUUCACAAUGUUGAAUACGUUGUAAUUGCAAAGUUUCAUGAAAUGGACUUUGCCACCUCC